GAGCGCGCGACUCGAGAGGGAGCGCCUCGUGAUUGGUGCGCCGGGGAGCACGAGGCGCCCGCCUGCGCCGUCACAGCCGCCGCUGUGAGCGGAGGGGGCGGGAACGGAGCGAGCCGAUUGGCUGCUCCCUCGUUGUCCCGGUGACCGGCGCGCGCCGCUCGGGGGCGCAGUGCAAGGUGACCCCCGCCCCCCUCCAACGGCCGUCGAACGGCCGCGGCGCUGCCGCCCGGCCCGUGGGAACCCUUCGGGCACCGCUUCACCUUCGCCCGCCGGCGGUCUUAGCCGUGUCCCUGCCACCUGAUUGCUCAAACCUGAGGCAGAUUCAGCAGGGGAAGGUUUAGGCCCACCUUGGCGCAGUGUCUGGGUCCCCACACGGGCUUGCCCUCAUUGCAUCGUUCAUUACUCGGUGUUUAAGUGAGCUGGUGUUUACCCAGGGCUAGCCCUGCCAAGGCUUCGUAACGUGCCUGUCAUUCACUCCCGUGACGUGCCCCAGAAACAUCUGAGAAAUUUCUGUGCUGUACAAAGUGCAACCUAGAAUAUGUUUAUUUAAACUCUAUCAGGGAAAGUUAUUGACUGACUGACUUGAUUACCAUUUCCGAGGGCUGAUUCAUACCUGUACGGUAAAGCGGUCUCUGUUGGCUCAAGAAAAAUCAUAUCUGAAUGGCAAAGUGAUCUACAAAUAAGGAGAAUCAGUUCUACAUGCAGUGCUUUCUCAGCCGAGUUCCUUGGUUAAUUUUGGUGGUGAUGUUCUGCUUUUACCAGAAACGCCAGCUCUGCCUCCGUGCUGGACCGUGGCACAUGAGGGAUGUCAGAGCAGUGAUGUCAGAGCCAGCUGGAAGGAGCUGCACCUUUCCAGGCCCUCCUGCAGCCCAAAGGGAUGGGAAAGUUGCCCAAUAGGUCCCUGCCGAAGAAGCUGAAGACAUCAUUUUUAUAGUGUGGUCAACUAGGAAAGGCAGGAAGAUAUGUGACCGCAAUGGCAGGAACUGGGUCUUUCUGAAAGCCUAAGCAGCAACGCCAAAGAUGAAUGGGCUGAAGGCACAGUGCAAAACCCAGUGGAUUAUGUGGAAUGGCUGGUACUGGCGUCUCGAAACAUGAGAUCUGUCCUACACAAAACAAAUAACUUUCCGGUCUUGACGAAAGCCUCUCUGGGUUAGGCUUAAAGCAUGUAGGAGGAAAAAUGUGUGAGAAAUUUAUACUGCUGUGCUUCUUGCAAUAUAUUUUUAAUGUAUUAGCAGAGAAAGUGCUUUUCAUGCUAGA
Molecule: long non-coding RNA, 1257 nt
Organism: Rhea pennata
Lineage: Eukaryota; Metazoa; Chordata; Aves; Rheiformes; Rheidae
Exons: 3
Source: RefSeq, a predicted model, not a curated record